AUCAAAGCAGAGUACGUGGGGUCGAAAUAAACUGAAGACGGUAGCCACCUUCCACCGUGCUGAGGACCCAGCAGUCUGAUGUCAGCUGGGACCAAGCAGGGAAGAAAGCGGCAAGGCGACUGGCGAAGUGAGCGGGAUCGCUGGAGGAAAUUGGUACGGUGCUCU
Non-coding RNA from Chelonoidis abingdonii (Abingdon island giant tortoise), 165 nucleotides. Lineage: Eukaryota; Metazoa; Chordata; Testudines; Testudinidae. The record is from RefSeq and is a predicted model, not a curated record.